GAUGAACGCUGGCGGCGUGCCUAAUACAUGCCGGUCGAGCGAACAGACGAGGAGCUUGCUCCUUUGACGUUAGCGGCGGACGGGUGAGUAACACGUGGGUAACCUACCUAUAAGACUGGGAUCACUUCGGGAAACCGGAGCUAAUACCGGAUAAUAUUUCGAACCGCAUGGUUCGAUAGUGAAAGAUGGCUUUGCUAUCACUUAUCGAUGGACCUGCGCCGUAUUAGCUAGUUGGUAAGGUAACGGCUUACCAAGGCAACGAUACGUAGCCGACCUGAGAGGGGGAUCGGCCACACUGGAACUGAGACACGGUCCAGACGCCUACGGGAGGCAGCAGUAGGGAAUCUGCCGCAAUGGGCGAAAGCCUGACGGAGCAACGCCGCGUGAGUGAUGAAGGUCUUCGGAUCGUAAAACUCUGUUAUUAGGGAAGAAUAAACGUGUAAGGAACUGUGCACGGCGUGACGGUACCGAAUCAGAAAGCCACGGCUAACUACGUG
Molecule: ribosomal RNA, 497 nt
Filed under: uncultured bacterium
Lineage: Bacteria
Description: partial 16S ribosomal RNA
Rfam family: Bacterial small subunit ribosomal RNA
Source: RNAcentral